This 22-nucleotide microRNA is filed under the name Monopterus albus (swamp eel). RNAcentral describes it as "Mal-Mir-451_5p (mature (guide))". Lineage: Eukaryota; Metazoa; Chordata; Actinopteri; Synbranchiformes; Synbranchidae. The record is from RNAcentral.
AAACCGUUACCAUUACUAUGUU